This 117-nucleotide small RNA is filed under the name Pongo abelii (Sumatran orangutan). RNAcentral's name for it is "Metazoan signal recognition particle RNA (ENSPPYG00000032953.1)". The record is from Rfam by way of RNAcentral. Lineage: Eukaryota; Metazoa; Chordata; Mammalia; Primates; Hominidae.
GCCGGGCGUGGUGGCUCACGCCUGUAAUCCCAGCAUUUUGGGAGGCUGAGGUGGGCGGAUCACCUGAGGUCGGGAGUUCGAGACCAGCCUGACCAAUAUGGAGACAUCCCAUCUCUA